RNAcentral lists this ribosomal RNA (114 nucleotides) under Rattus norvegicus (Norway rat). Lineage: Eukaryota; Metazoa; Chordata; Mammalia; Rodentia; Muridae. The record is from RNAcentral.
AUCCGUUGCCAUACCACCCUGAAUGCACCCAAUCUCAUCUCAUCUCGGACACUAAGCAGGGUCAGUCCUGGUUAGUACUUGGAUGGGAGACAGAGUCCCACUAUGUAGUGUUGA